Molecule: ribosomal RNA, 465 nt
Filed under: Veillonella dispar
Lineage: Bacteria; Bacillati; Bacillota; Negativicutes; Veillonellales; Veillonellaceae
Description: bacterial SSU rRNA
Rfam family: Bacterial small subunit ribosomal RNA
Source: RNAcentral
GACGAACGCUGGCGGCGUGCUUAACACAUGCAAGUCGAACGAAGAGCGAUGGAAGCUUGCUUCUAUCAAUCUUAGUGGCGAACGGGUGAGUAACGCGUAAUCAACCUGCCCUUCAGAGGGGGACAACAGUUGGAAACGACUGCUGAUACCGCAUACGACCUGACCUCGGCAUCGAGGAUGGAUGAAAGGUGGCCUCUAUUUAUAAGCUAUCACUGAAGGAGGGGAUUGCGUCUGAUUAGCUAGUUGGAGGGGUAACGGCCCACCAAGGCGAUGAUCAGUAGCCGGUCUGAGAGGAUGAACGGCCACAUUGGGACUGAGACACGGCCCAGGCUCCUACGGGAGGCAGCAGUGGGGAAUCUUCCGCGAUGGACGAGAGUCUGACGGAGCGACGCCGCGUGAGUGAUGACGGCCUUCGGGUUGUAAAGCUCCGUUAAUCGGGACGAAAGGCCUUCUUGCGAAUAGUUC